AACGAACGCUGGCGGCAUGCCUAACACAUGCAAGUCGAACGAGACCUUCGGGUCUAGUGGCGCACGGGUGCGUAACGCGUGGGAACCUGCCCUUAGGUUCGGAAUAACUCCCCGAAAGGGGUGCUAAUACCGGAUAAUGUCUUCGGACCAAAGAUUUAUCGCCUUUGGAUGGGCCCGCGUUGGGUUAGCUAGUUGGUAGGGUAAAAGCCUACCAAGGCGACGAUCCAUAGCUGGUCUGAGAGGAUGAUCAGCCACACUGGGACUGAGACACGGCCCAGACUCCUACGGGAGGCAGCAGUGGGGAAUAUUGGACAAUGGGCGAAAGCCUGAUCAAGCAAUGCCGCGUGAGUGAUGAAGGCCUUAGGGUUGUAAAGCUCUUUUACCCGGGAUGAUAAUGACAGUACCGGGAGAAUAAGCUCCGGCUAACUCCGUG
Molecule: ribosomal RNA, 433 nt
Filed under: uncultured bacterium
Lineage: Bacteria
Description: partial 16S ribosomal RNA
Rfam family: Bacterial small subunit ribosomal RNA
Source: RNAcentral